UGGUAGUNCACGCCGUAAACGAUGAGUGCUAGGUGUUAGGCCCUUUCCGGGGCUUAGUGCCGCAGCUAACGCAUUAAGCACUCCGCCUGGNGAGUACGACCGCAAGGUUGAAACUCAAAGGAAUUGACGGGGGCCCGCACAAGCGGUGGAGCAUGUGGUUUAAUUCGAAGCGACGCGAAGAACCUUACCAGGUCUUGACAUCCCUCUGAUCGCUCUAGAGAUAGAGUUUUCCUUCGGGACAGAGGUGACAGGUGGUGCAUGGUUGUCGUCAGCUCGUGUCGUGAGAUGUUGGGUUAAGUCCCGCAACGAGCGCAACCCCUAUUGUUAGUUGCCAUCAUUCAGUUGGGCACUCUAGCGAGACUGCCGGUAAUAAACCGGAGGAAGGUGGGGAUGACGUCAAAUCAUCAUGCCCCUUAUGACCUGGGCUACACACGUGCUACAAUGGCUGGUACAACGAGUCGCAAGCCGGUGACGGCAAGCUAAUCUCUGAAAGCCAGUCUCAGUUCGGAUUGUAGGCUGCAACUCGCCUACAUGAAGUCGGAAUCGCUAGUAAUCGCGGAUCAGCACGCCGCGGUGAAUACGUUCCCGGGCCUUGUACACACCGCCCGUCACACCACGAGAGUUNGUAACACC
RNAcentral lists this ribosomal RNA (633 nucleotides) under uncultured bacterium. Its description in RNAcentral is "bacterial SSU rRNA". It matches the Rfam family "Bacterial small subunit ribosomal RNA", at positions 788 to 1421 of the family's 1533-position model. The record is from RNAcentral.